GAUGAACGCUGGCGGCGUGCCUAAUACAUGCAAGUCGAGCGAACGGACGAGAAGCUUGCUUCUCUGAUGUUAGCGGCGGACGGGUGAGUAACACGUGGAUAACCUACCUAUAAGACUGGGAUAACUUCGGGAAACCGUAUCUAAUACCGGAUAAUAUUUUGAACCGCAUGGUUCAAAAGUGAAAGACGGUCUUGCUGUCACUUAUAGAUGGUUCCGCGCUGCAUUAGCUAGUUGGUAAGGUAACGGCUUACCAAGGCAACGAUGCAUAGCCGACCUGAGAGGGUGAUCGGCCACACUGGAACUGAGACACGGUCCAGACUCCUACGGGAGGCAGCAGUAGGGAAUCUUCCGCAAUGGGCGAAAGCCUGACGGAGCAACGCCGCGUGAGUGAUGAAGGUCUUCGGAUCGUAAAACUCUGUUAUUAGGGAAGAACAUAUGUGUAAGUAACUGUGCACAUCUUGACGGUACCUAAUCAGAAAGCAACGGCUAACUACGUG
This 497-nucleotide ribosomal RNA is filed under the name uncultured bacterium. RNAcentral's name for it is "partial 16S ribosomal RNA". It matches the Rfam family "Bacterial small subunit ribosomal RNA", at positions 28 to 507 of the family's 1533-position model. The record is from RNAcentral.